CCAGCUGAAGAUGCUGUCCGAUUCAUUGACCUCUCCGGUUAUCCGCAGUUCUUCGACGAUAUGGCUAACGGUUGCAUUGAAAUGACGAGAGCUCAACCCGCAAGUGCCGCGUUUGGGAGCCAGUCAAUUCUUCAGGUUCAUGAGGUCGGCAGCUUUCACGCGUCGUUUGUACCGUCCCAGCGAGACUUCGCUCGGUUGGAUAGCCGCUUCCGUCUUCCCGACCAGGUUUGGGAGCAGCUGCCGCAAUAUAGUGACGACGCUUUCGCGGUCUUCAAAUUGCGGG
RNAcentral lists this unclassified non-coding RNA (283 nucleotides) under uncultured bacterium. RNAcentral describes it as "contains 16S-23S intergenic spacer region". The record is from RNAcentral.